CCUACGGGAGGCAGCAGUGGGGAAUAUUGCGCAAUGGGGGCAACCCUGACGCAGCCAUGCCGCGUGAAUGAAGAAGGCCUUCGGGUUGUAAAGUUCUUUCGGUGACGAGGAAGGUUGUUGUGUUAAUAGCGCAACAAAUUGACGUUAAUCACAGAAGAAGCACCGGCUAACUCCGUGCCAGCAGCCGCGGUAAUACGGAGGGUGCGAGCGUUAAUCGGAAUAACUGGGCGUAAAGGGCACGCAGGCGGACUUUUAAGUGAGGUGUGAAAUCCCCGGGCUUAACCUGGGAAUUGCAUUUCAGACUGGGGGUCUAGAGUACGUUAGGGAGGGGUAGAAUUCCACGUGUAGCGGUGAAAUGCGUAGAGAUGUGGAGGAAUACCGAAGGCGAAGGCAGCCCCUUGGGAAUGUACUGACGCUCAUGUGCGAAAGCGUGGGGAGCAAACAGGAUUAGAUACCCCAGUAGUC
Molecule: ribosomal RNA, 465 nt
Filed under: uncultured Aggregatibacter sp.
Lineage: Bacteria; Pseudomonadati; Pseudomonadota; Gammaproteobacteria; Pasteurellales; Pasteurellaceae
Description: bacterial SSU rRNA
Rfam family: Bacterial small subunit ribosomal RNA
Source: RNAcentral